RNAcentral lists this ribosomal RNA (513 nucleotides) under uncultured organism. RNAcentral's name for it is "SSU rRNA". It matches the Rfam family "Bacterial small subunit ribosomal RNA", at positions 1 to 509 of the family's 1533-position model. The record is from RNAcentral.
CAACGAGCUAGAGUUUGACUCGUGGCUCGAGAGACGCUGGCGGCGUGCCUAACACAUGCAAGUCGAACGAAGCUUGAAGUUUGAACCCUUCGGGGGGAAAACGGAUAUGACUGAGUGGCGGACGGGUGAGUAACGCGUGAGGAACCUGCCUUACAGAGGGGGACAACAGAGGGAAACUUCUGCUAAUACCGCAUAACAUAUCGGGAUCGCAUGAUCCGGAUAUCAAAGAUUAUAUCGCUGUAAGAUGGCCUCGCGUCCGAUUAGAUAGUUGGCGGGGUAACGGCCCACCAAGUCGACGAUCGGUAGCCGGACUGAGAGGUUGAACGGCCACAUUGGGACUGAGACACGGCCCAGACUCCUACGGGAGGCAGCAGUGGGGGAUAUUGCACAAUGGGCGCAAGCCUGAUGCAGCAACGCCGCGUGAGGGAAGAAGGUCUUCGGAUUGUAAACCUUUGUUUUCGUGACGAAAGAAAUGACGGUAGCGAAAGAGGAAGCUCCGGCUAACUACGUGCC